UAAACGCACGAACAGGCGCAGUGAAAUUUGAAGGGAGGGGAAAUAAUUCCCCAAAAUUCCGAGGGAAAACCACUCAAAAAAAAAAAAAAAAAAUCCGAGGGAAGAAGGGAACAAUCCGGGGAUGCCGAAGACCUCCUCACCUUCCCCCACCGUCUCCGCCAUGAAUCCCCUCCUCCCCUCCUCCUCCUUCCCCAAAUCCUCGCACCCGCCGGACCCAAACCCUAGCUCCCCGAACCCUAGCCCAAGCAGCUACCUCCUCCACGCCGACGCCGACGACGAGGCGCUGAUCCAAGUCCCCGGCCCGAACCCUAGCCUGGGGGGUGCCUCCGCCCCCCUCGUGCUGCUACCGGCCAUCGAUCCCGCGCCGCACAUCUCCUCGCAGUUCUACACCUUCUCCGCCGCCUCGUACGGGCUCAUGCUGCGGUGCAUCCUCGCGGGCCGCCCCGCCGCCGCCGAGGAGGUCCGCGCCGCCACGUCGCUCUCCGUGCUCGCCUCGUGGCGGACGGUCUGGAAGGACCGGAACGAGGACACCGCCUACCUCACCGCGUGGAAGCGCAUCCAGGACAAGCUCACAGCGUCGCCCGACGGGCGGCACCUCCACUUCAAGUCCAACGCCGCGCAGCGCGUCUCCCAUGUCGGCAUGUGGAGGGACAUAGUCUCGGAGGCCCACGCUGAUCCUGACCUGCUCCGACACCUCGCGCUCAAGGACACCGUCGACCGCAUCAAGCAGUCGUGGACUGUGGGUGCCAAAUUCUACGGUAUUCCGGAAUCAUUUAUCCGUGUUUGUGUUGCUUCAUGCCCCGUCUGUAAGGCUGCACCUGCUGGCCAGCCUGAUUCUGCUAUCUCAUCGCCUGGACGAGGGAAGCGGCGGCGCAGGUUUGAAUAUACCGAGACGCUGGAUGUGCCUGCUCGAGAUGUGCCCCGCAGGUUGCAGCAGUUGGCUGCCAAGCAUAAGGUUGUCCUCUGUAUCAGGCAGAAGUACAUCAGGUAUAAGCCAUUCAUGGCUGAGGUGAAGGAUUAUGCGUGCCACCGUGCUGGAGUGCCAACGUCAAGUGGUGGGAGUGCUGCAUCCUCCUCAGCUAAUAAUUCCGAUGGAAAGAAGCCACGGGUUCUGAAGCGGGAGCCAUACCAAUCAAAGAGGUGUGGUUGUGGGUUCCGUAUUCGGGCAAUUGUGCCGAUAGCCAAUUAUAAUGAAAAGGACAAGAGUUUUGUGUACCAGGAGGAGGGCACUGCUGUGUUCAAGCUUUACGCGGUGCACUCAGGGCAUGAGCCAGGGCCACUCGAUGGCAAUGCCCGAAUUGUUCACAGGUUGGUUGGGCAUAAGGGGACGCUUGACUUCGAUCCAGGCAUUUAUGGGGUCAGUGAGGAAGGGGAUCCUGGCUUUUCGGCAAAGGGGGAUGGAGAUUUUGAUAUUGAUGACUCGCAUCAAGCAGUUUUGCAGCAAGUACAGGAUCUCAGAGCAGAAGUUCUCUCGUUAGAAGGGAAGGUGGCUAAGAUGCACCCAGAUCUGUUGGGCUCACUGUCCACCGAGCUAUCUGAGGUUUUGCAAAGGAUAAGGAAGUUUAAUUUGGAAGGUAACGUCUACCAGCCGGAGGAGACGUUGAUGAUAGGCAAUGAGGAGGUUGGGGGAUGGGGGGCUGGUGAUGUGCCCCACCAUUUAGACCAGCAUGAUGGUGCAUUCUGCAAGGAUGAUGAGAUGCUUGAUGACGAUGAUACUGAUUUUGGCUCAAGCCUUGGCCCUAUUGUCUCGUGGGACAGGAUGGCAGCAGAGUGCGAGGAUAGAAAGAUGCUCAUGGGUGAUAGUCCAAAGUGUGACAAGUGGAUGCUGAAGGAGGAUGUGGGUGACUUUGAUGCGAAGAGUAUUCUUAACUGUGGGGAUGAUGAUGAUGUAGAGGAUUCCAAGAUUAUUAAACCAUUGAUGCAUGAUGAUGCCAUGGUAGCUGACCCAAGUUUGGUAGGUAUUCAUGUAGAAGGAUUUUACUCUGGAGCAAAGUGGUAUGAUUCGCCGGUAGGUUUGGAUUCCAGUGUUAAUGCAGGAGAUGCAAGUUUUAGGCAUGGUGGACUCUUGUGAGAUCAGUGAUUCUACCCUGAUACCAGGAGGGUCUUGUAAAUUCUGUAUAGUAGGAAGUCAUUAGCUCGCAACAAUUUAAUGUAGUGUCUGUAGAUGAAGCUUCAGUCAAAGCAACCUGUCUGCCCUGAUAUAUACAAGUUCAGUUUGAGGUGUGCAGCCUUUCAGCUUAUUGGCAUGCACUGGUGUCUGAUUGCAUACCAUCAGUUUGAGGUUAGAACUCAUUUCAUUCUGUCUUUUCACAUUUUACAGAAUGUAGUUAUUUAUAGGCUAUAUGUUCAAGUUAGCAGGUAUUACUGGUGCUCAUGAUUUGGGCCGAAGUACAGCUAAGAAGCAGGCAAAACCAAUGCUAGAAAUGGAGCUAGUGUGAUAUGGAUGAACAAUUGAGCGUAAUAUAGGGCCUGUUUGGCUAAGCUUCAGGUCCAAGAAUAUUUGGAGCUGGGUAUUCCUAGCUCCAGAAAUUCUUAGAGGUAGAGCUGGGGACAAACUAGGGAUGUUUGAGUGAGCUAUAUUCUUCACAUUUUAGACUAACAAUAAAGGCAUAAACCACUUUAUUUUACAAACUCUAGAUCCAGCAUGAAUCCUAGAGUUGGAGCCAAACAAGCCCAUAGUAUACUGAUCCUUGAUUUUUUUUUCUAUUUCUUAUAGGAUUUGACUGGAUACGUGAUUUUCAGGGAGAGAGUCCAUAACCAUACUUCAAACUUAUUCUUGAGUUAUUUGAAGUGUCAUGUUGAGUGAAUAUAGCAUUAAGAUGCUAAAGUGAACAUCUUGAGAUAACUUUAUGUGAUAUGUAAUAUGUUCUAUGCUUUGCUAGUUAUGGUGUGCUUAUUAACCCAAUUUGGCACUUGGACUGGAUUUUUAUCAGUUUUUGUACAGCAUAACCAUGGAUGCUCCUUACAACUCACCGUUAGAAUGAUGUAAUUCCCCCCCCCCCCCAUCAUU
RNA transcript from Phragmites australis (common reed), 3010 nucleotides. RefSeq lists it as uncharacterized. The record is from RefSeq and is a predicted model, not a curated record. Lineage: Eukaryota; Viridiplantae; Streptophyta; Magnoliopsida; Poales; Poaceae. The transcript has 2 exons.